Transfer RNA from Exophiala mesophila, 101 nucleotides. It matches the Rfam family "tRNA". From Rfam's summary of the family: Transfer RNA (tRNA) molecules are approximately 80 nucleotides in length. Their secondary structure includes four short double-helical elements and three loops (D, anti-codon, and T loops). The record is from Rfam. NCBI's taxonomy places the organism in Eukaryota, Fungi, Ascomycota, Eurotiomycetes, Chaetothyriales, Herpotrichiellaceae.
GUCGGAAUGGCCGAGUGGUCUAAGGCGUGUGACUUGAAUUGAGCUUAGUUCAUUGUUAUCACAUCUCUUCGGAGGCACAGGUUCGAACCCUGUUUCCGACG